RNAcentral lists this transfer RNA (69 nucleotides) under Ictidomys tridecemlineatus (thirteen-lined ground squirrel). Its description in RNAcentral is "Spermophilus tridecemlineatus (thirteen-lined ground squirrel) tRNA". It matches the Rfam family "tRNA". Rfam says of the family: Transfer RNA (tRNA) molecules are approximately 80 nucleotides in length. Their secondary structure includes four short double-helical elements and three loops (D, anti-codon, and T loops). Lineage: Eukaryota; Metazoa; Chordata; Mammalia; Rodentia; Sciuridae. The record is from Rfam by way of RNAcentral.
GGAGUUGUGGCUCAGUGGUAGAGCACUCGCCUAGCAUGUGUGAAGCACUGGGUUCGAUCUUCAGCACCA